UACGGGGGGGGCAAGCGUUGUUCGGAAUUACUGGGCGUAAAGGGCUUGUAGGUGGCCAACUAAGUCAGACGUGAAAUCCCUCGGCUUAACCGGGGAACUGCGUCUGAUACUGGAUGGCUUGAGUGUGGGAGAGGGAUGCGGAAUUCCAGGUGUAGCGGUGAAAUGCGUAGAUAUUCGCAAGAACACCAGUGGCGAAGGCGGCUCACUGGCCCGAUACUGACGCUGAGGCACGAAAGCGUGGGGAGCAAACAGG
This 253-nucleotide ribosomal RNA is filed under the name uncultured bacterium. RNAcentral describes it as "partial 16S ribosomal RNA". It matches the Rfam family "Bacterial small subunit ribosomal RNA", at positions 524 to 776 of the family's 1533-position model. The record is from RNAcentral.